AUGCGCAAGGGCCUCGCCUCCGCGACCCUCCUCGUCCCAUGGAUGAUAUGGAAGCACCGCAACGACUGCGUCUUCAACAGAGGCCAGCCCUUGACGACCGACCUGCUCACGAAGAUCAAAGACGAGGCCAUCCUCUGGGCCAGAGCCGGCGCCCUCGGGCUUCGUGCCAUCUUGCCUCAAACCUGGGACGUGCACUGA
This 198-nucleotide ribosomal RNA is filed under the name Triticum aestivum (bread wheat). RNAcentral describes it as "partial small subunit ribosomal RNA". The record is from RNAcentral. Lineage: Eukaryota; Viridiplantae; Streptophyta; Magnoliopsida; Poales; Poaceae.